AGAACGAACGCUGGCGGCAUGCCUAACACAUGCAAGUCGAACGAGCUCUUCGGAGCUAGUGGCGCACGGGUGCGUAACGCGUGGGAAUCUGCCCUUGGGUUCGGAAUAACAGUUGGGAACGACUGCUAAUACCGAAUGAUGACUCCGGUCCAAAGAUUUAUCGCCCAGGGAUGAGCCCGCGUAGGAUUAGCUAGUUGGUGAGGUAAAAGCUCACCAAGGCGACGAUCCUUAGCUGGUCUGAGAGGAUGAUCAGCCACACUGGGACUGAGACACGGCCCAGACCUCCGUACGGGAGGCAGCAGGUGGGGAAUAUUGGACAAGUGGGACGAAAGCCUAG
RNAcentral lists this ribosomal RNA (337 nucleotides) under uncultured soil bacterium. Its description in RNAcentral is "bacterial SSU rRNA". It matches the Rfam family "Bacterial small subunit ribosomal RNA", at positions 26 to 386 of the family's 1533-position model. The record is from RNAcentral.